RNAcentral lists this ribosomal RNA (991 nucleotides) under uncultured eukaryote. Its description in RNAcentral is "SSU rRNA". It matches the Rfam family "Eukaryotic small subunit ribosomal RNA", at positions 121 to 1111 of the family's 1831-position model. The record is from RNAcentral.
UUGAUGGUUCCUUACUACACGGAUAACUGUAGUAAUUCUAGAGCUAAUACGUGCGUAAAAUCCCGACUCUCGCGGGGAGGGAUGUAUUUAUUAGAUAAAAAACCAAUGCGGACUCUGUCCGGUUUUGUGGUGAAUCAUAGUAACUUUUCGAAUCGCAUGACUUCACGUCGGCGAUGGUUCAUUCAAAUUUCUGCCCUAUCAGCUUUCGACGGUAGUGUAGUGGACUACCGUGGCGUUAACGGGUAACGGAGAAUUAGGGUUCGAUUCCGGAGAGGGAGCCUGAGAAACGGCUACCACAUCCAAGGAAGGCAGCAGGCGCGCAAAUUACCCAAUUCUGACACAGAGAGGUAGUGACAAAAAAUAACAAUACCUGGCUUCUUUAGGUCGGGUAAUUGGAAUGAGUACAAUUUAAAUCCCUUAACGAGGAUCCAUUGGAGGGUAAGUCUGGUGCCAGCAGCCGCGGUAAUUCCAGCUCCAAGAGCGUAUAUUAAAGUUGUUGCAGUUAAAAAGCUCGUAGUUGGAUUUCUGGUACAACGCGCCUGGCCCGCUUACGUGAGUGCCGGUGCGCGUUUGCCAUCCUUCUAGAAAACGUCUCUACUCGGGCAACUGAGCCGGAUUCGCGAUCUAGAUCUUUUACUUUGAAAAAAUUAGAGUGUUUAAAGCAGGCUAUUGCCUUGAAUACAUUAGCAUGGAAUAAUAAUCUAGGACUUCGGUUCUAUUUUGUUGGUUUCUAGUACUGAAGUAAUGAUUGAUAGGGAUAGUUGGGGGUGCUAGUAUUGACCGGCCAGAGGUGAAAUUCUUGGAUUCGGUCAAGACUAACUUAUGCGAAAGCAUUCACCAAGGAUGUCUUCUCUAAUCAAGAACGAAAGUUGGGGGAUCGAAGACGAUCAGAUACCGUCGUAGUCUCAACCAUAAACUAUGCCAACUAGGGAUGGGUGAACGUUGUUUUUUUGACUUCAUCUGCACCUUAUGAGAAAUCAAAGUCUUUGGG